UACGUAGGGUGCGAGCGUUAAUCGGAAUUACUGGGCGUAAAGCGUGCGCAGGCGGUUGUGCAAGACAGAUGUGACAUCCCCGGGCUCAACCUGGGAAUUGCAUUUGUGACUGCACGGCUAGAGUGUGUCAGAGGGGGGUAGAAUUCCACGUGUAGCAGUGAAAUGCGUAGAGAUGUGGAGGAAUACCGAUGGCGAAGGCAGCCCCCUGGGAUAACACUGACGCUCAUGCACGAAAGCGUGGGGAGCAAACAGG
This 253-nucleotide ribosomal RNA is filed under the name uncultured bacterium. RNAcentral's name for it is "partial 16S ribosomal RNA". It matches the Rfam family "Bacterial small subunit ribosomal RNA", at positions 524 to 776 of the family's 1533-position model. The record is from RNAcentral.